Molecule: long non-coding RNA, 2444 nt
Filed under: Sus scrofa (pig)
Lineage: Eukaryota; Metazoa; Chordata; Mammalia; Artiodactyla; Suidae
Description: lncRNA (ENSSSCG00005017716.1)
Source: RNAcentral
GGAGCAGCCCAAGAAAUGGCAAAAAUACAGAAGAAUUUUAAAAUAAAUAAAUAAAUAAAUAAAACAAUAUUUAUAGGUAGAUAAAUAAAAGGACUCCUAUUACAGUAGAAUGGAUAAUGAUUGGCAAAAGGAGAAGGAAUGCUGGUGCUAGGAAAAAAAAUCAUUUUAGAACUGUAACAGUAAAGGCUGGUUCAAGCAAGCUGUCAUCUAUAGAUCCUACAUAAAGAGAGUGAAAUUUUGAUGAAAAGCAGGAUAUUUCAUUUGUCUUAAAGUAUUUCCUCACAGAGUGUUUAUUAGCGGUAAAGGGAGGACAGGAACUACACAGUGGAGAAAUCAGACAAGGAAAGAGGUGGUCAAAAUUUGUAUCACGAAGAAAGAGCAGGUGGAUACCAUGCGCCUCCAGAUAAGCUGUGCUUUAGGUAAUAUUCCAUCUUGGAAGGCAAAGCAACUUGAAUCUUAUCAAGAGGAAACAUCAGGUAGACCAAAGAUAAGCAAUACACUGUUAAAAAAGAGAGGAAGAAAAGGAAUGAUUGUAUCUUUUCCAAUGCCAGUGUCAUAAAUGACGGAGAAGGGCUGAAGAACCAGUCUCGAUUAAAAGAUACGAAAGACAUGACAUUUAAAUGUAAAUAGGAUCACAGACUAAAUUCUGUGUAUUACAUCAAUCUGUGUAUUACAGAACUAGAAAAUGACCAACAGAUAAAAGUAACGUAAUCAUGUUAAAUCUACUGAGGUUUUUAGGUUUUCAUGUAAGAGCUUAGACUUAGUCUUGGGGAAAUCACACUUAGAUGUUUAGGACUAAAGGGCUAUGAUAUAUAUAUAAUUCUUAAACAGUCCAACAAAAAGAAUACACAUAUAUGUGCAUGUGUGGAUUUAAAAAUAUACACAGAAACAUUCAUUUGCAAAGAGAAUAAUAAAGUAUUUGGGGACAAAUGGUUAAUAAAAGGUGAAUCUGGAGAGAGGGGACAUGGAGGUUCUUACAUUAUUAUUGCAACUUUUCUGCUAGUUUGAAAUUAUUUCCCCCAAAAAUCAUUACAUUCGAAAUCCAGUACAUUAUUUUUCUCCCUAAAUUCUAUUUUUCUGUUAUAAUAUAGCUGAACGGAACCAGUGUCAACCAGUCAUCCAGCUAGAAACUUGGCGGUUAACCUAGACUCCCCAAAGAUUUCAACUCAUUUUCGUCCUUUCUUUCAACGCUCACAGCCAAAGGGACAAAUCCUAAGGGAAUGCCUUAUGUAUUUAUUUACUCUAUUUUCUCCAGUCGUACCAAAUGGGUUCAGAACCUAAUCGUUUGGCAUCUCUCACCAUCUAAGGACCACCCUUCCUGCAGCCUUGGCUCUAACCCUCUGCAUCCUCUGCUAUGGAGUGCCCAUCCCCAAAUGAAAUCUGAUCACAUCACUCUGUACUUCUCAACUGGCCCUGAAGAACAGGAGGAAAAAACAUACUGGAUGAACUCAAAAAUCCCAAUACUGGUAAACUAUAUUGCUUUGGAUCUUGAGACGCAAAUAAGCAAAAAAGUGUUAACCAAACCUAGAAGAGCUAGUCUAGCCUAACCGUAAACUUAGUCAUGGAGCAACAGCAAAAGCCUUCUUGGACCCAACUGUAAAGCUACCGCUCCUGAGCAAUAUAUUGAGUGCCUCUUGCACAAAUAACAUGGGAUGGGACCUUUUGAAAAAGAGGUCCUUAAAAGGGAGGAAUGGAAGGAAAAGUUAGGGAACACAUGGGAGGAAGGAGAGAGUACUGAAAAGUAAGGAGGAAAGAAGCAGAGAAGGGAAGAAAACCAAGCCUAUUCUCCAGGAUCUCUGGAUAAAACAGAGAUCUGUCUUGGAGUAAAAUGUCAGCCUUUUGAGAAUUAACCAGCCCUUGUAAUUGCUCCUAAUGGAACAAUCCCUUUAUUAAAUUCUAUGCUCUUUGGACAUUUUAUCAGAAGUUAUAAAUAAUACUUGAGAAAAGUAUUAUUUAUAAUCAAAGUAUAUUCUAUGAAUAUGGAAAAGUAUAGGCAAGCAUGGAAUCAUGUUUCUACUGCCUUCAUUCUGUAGACUCUCUUUCAUUUCUCAGUUCAAAGCAUCAAUAUAGGUUUUGUAUAUUAUAUAAAACUACAAGGCGUUCCCGUGGUGGCGCAGUGGAAACAAAUCCUGCUAGGAACUAUGAGGACAUGGGUUCAAUUCCUGACCUCGCUCAGUGGGUUAAGGAUCCGGCGUUGCUGUGAGCUGUGGUGUAGGGUCUGAGUCACAUCUGCGACCUACAUACACCACAGCUCAUGGCAACGCCGGAUCCUCAACCCACUGAGUGAGGCCAGGGAUCGAACCCGAAACCUCACGGUUCCUAGUGGAUUCGUUUCCACUGAGCCACAACGGAAACUCCAGAACUGAAAAUUUCUAUGACUCUGUUCUUUUAGGCAGUAAAAACAAAAUUAAGAUGGAAGAAAACAAACUAAACAGUAGUACUGA